AUUUCCUUUUCCUCUCCUCCUGGUUAAAGAGAUGAUUACAGAGAACACACAGGACUCAACGGUACCCGGCAAAGCAGCCCACACCGGGAUCUUUGGAUCCUCCAGGCAGGGCUGUGGUCUGAAGCUUUUUGGUCUUUCCUAUCCAAGGCCGGGCCACCCGGUUCAACUGAGAGGCCGGCCGCCGAACUCCGUCCAGACACGUAAUUAAACAGGGCGGCAGCCUGUGUUCCAGAAUGGUGACGGGAUUUUCGGGAAGCGUCUGUGAGUAAAAUCAGUAGCACCCUCACCUAGCUAUGACCAUAUUUGGUGAACAGAAGGCAAUUUUCCUUACUGGUGAACAUUUAAGGUCAAGUCUACUAAUUGUUUCUAUAAAUAUAACUUGAGCCCAAGAUUCAUCCCUCGCAAAAUUAAUCUCACACAGUCGGAUGAAUACAGUGCUAUGAAGAAUGCCACAGUCGGAGCAGUGUGUCAGUGACCCUCGCCACGUUAUGAAGCCUCUCUUUGCGAGAGCCAAGAGAAGACAAGAAUGUGACCUUAUGCUGACUUUGUGCACCACUGUCCCUGUGAACAGCCCCGGCCUGCUGAGAAUGUCACUCUGGCCAGCCCAUUUCCAGUCGUACCACCUUCUUCCUAUCUGCAGUGCUUCGAGUACUUUAAAAACAUCUCGGGAGGAUGGACCACCUAGAUUUAAUUCUCUAAACUUUUCUGAAGAGAGCAGAACUCGUCCUUUGCUAAGAGCGCCGAAGGACAGACUUCCAUACCCUCCGAGUCCGGAGCGAGAGGCAGUGGUGGAGGAGGAAGAAAACUCAGCUCGCGUGCUGUUGCUGUAACUGCCCUGGAAACCACAGACGACUCAACGCGUUUCCAGAUGCGCCGCACCCGGACUCUCACUGCCUGAGAGGGCUGAUGGGAAGGGGCUCGGGACUGAGCCCACCUGCGCUCAGACUCCCCGUGCAGCCUCCGUGCUAUUGACUUCGUUUUGCCUGUGCCAAACAGGCUCAGAAAACGCUUCUUUUUUCUCCCCUUUCCUCCCUCCAGAAAGCAGAGCUGCAUUUCUCAGUCUAGCAAUUUGAAAAUUUAUUUCACAUUCAAUUUAUUUCGCUUAUCACUUAGAUUUUAUUUAUUUGAAUUUUCAUUUUGGUCAAUGUGAAAUAAAGCAUAGUAAGAUUCCAGGACAAUAAACAUCACUGUGUAGAUGUCUCUUCCACAUUAUUGAUUUCAAUUCCUUCACAUAUACACCCAAAUGUGGGAUUCCUGGAUCAAAUAGUAGUUUUAUUUUUAUGUUUAAAGGAAGCUCUUAUUAUUUUCCAUGAUGGUUGUGUCAAUUUACAGUUCCACCACCCAUGAACUAAGGUUCCCUUUUCUUUAAACCCUUGAUAGUUUAUCUGUGGAGGCAAUUUAACAACAACAGAUGCUUGAAUAAAGACAAUGUCUCUGUAUGCAGGUGUCUCUGUAUGCAGUGAAAUACUAUGUAGCCUUCAAAAAGGAGGGAUUCUGCCAUUUGCAGCAACAUGAACCUGGAACAUGUUAUGCUGUGUGAAGUAAGUCAGGCACAGAAAGACAAUAUCACAGGAUCUCACUUGGCUAUGGAAUCUAAAAAAGUCAAGGACAUAAAAGCAGAGACUAGAAUGGUGAUUCCAAGAGACUAGGAUAGGGCUGGAUAGAGAAAGGAGAGAUGUUGGUGAAAGGGUACAAAGUUUCAACUACAAAGGAAAAGUAAGAUUCAGUGAUCUAUUGUACAGAAUGGUGAGCAGAAACAAUGGCGUAUGCUUGUAAUCCCAGGAUUCAGGAGGCUGAGGCAGGAAGUGAAUUUAAACUAGACUCUGUCUCAAAGAAAGCAAGCAAGCAAGCAGGCAGGCAGAAUGGCGACUAUAAUAAAAUGCCUUGCAUAUUUCAAACUUGCUUAAUUCUUAGAUUUCAAAUGUUAUCCUCAGAAAAGAAAUCGGUAAAUAUGUGAGGUGAAGGCUAUGUUAUUUAAAUUUAUUUUAAAAUGUGAACAUGUAGCAAAACAUUACCCCGUACCUUACAUAUACAAUUAUUUGUCAAUUUAAAAAGUUUAAUAGUAAAACUUAAAUUUAAAAAUGGAUUCAAGGCCGGGGGAGGGGGGUCAACAUUCAACAUCCUCAAAGGGAGAACUUCAUAAAAGCAUGCCUGAUGUUGCCUUCAUCAGGUGUAUUUCUUUUUUUUUUUUAAGAUCAAAGAUUUGGCAGAGAUGAAAGACCCCCAACUUUGUACAGAAACAUAAAUUAGCCAGGAGGAACUUCUUAAGUGGAAACAUUCAUAUAAUGACCUUCUUUAUUUCCACCUUUCUAUCUAAUAAACUUUCUCAGAAACCUUAAAAAUGGAAUGAAAGAAAGUCUUAUUUCUAUGAGAUUAUGGCUGCAGUCCAGAAGAAAAUUAAAACAUAU
RNAcentral lists this long non-coding RNA (2408 nucleotides) under Heterocephalus glaber (naked mole-rat). RNAcentral describes it as "lncRNA (ENSHGLG00100042824.1)". Lineage: Eukaryota; Metazoa; Chordata; Mammalia; Rodentia; Bathyergidae. The record is from RNAcentral.